GAUGAACGCUGGCGGUAUGCUUAACACAUGCAAGUCGAACGGACUCUUCGGAGUUAGUGGCGGACGGGUGAGUAACGCGUGAGAAUCUGGCUUUGGGUUCGGGACAACCACUGGAAACGGUGGCUAAUACCGGAUGUGCCGAGAGGUAAAAGAGAAAUUGCCUGAAGAUGAGCUCGCGUCUGAUUAGCUAGUUGGUGAGGUAAAGGCUCACCAAGGCAGCGAUCAGUAGCUGGUCUGAGAGGAUGACCAGCCACACUGGGACUGAGACACGGCCCAGACUCCUACGGGAGGCAGAAGUGGGGAAUUUUCCGCAAGGGGCGAAAGCCUGACGGAGCAAUACCGCGUGAGGGAAGAAGGCUCUUGGGUUGUAAACCUCUUUUCUUAGGGAAGAACAAAAUGACGGUACCUAAGGAAUCAGCAUCGGCUAACUCCGUG
RNAcentral lists this ribosomal RNA (435 nucleotides) under uncultured bacterium. RNAcentral's name for it is "partial 16S ribosomal RNA". It matches the Rfam family "Bacterial small subunit ribosomal RNA", at positions 28 to 507 of the family's 1533-position model. The record is from RNAcentral.